UCUCUCUGGGUGGCGAGUGGCGGACGGGUGAGGAAUACAUCGGAAUCUACUCUGUCGUGGGGGAUAACGUAGGGAAACUUACGCUAAUACCGCAUACGACCUACGGGUGAAAGCAGGGGACCUUCGGGCCUUGCGCGAUUGAAUGAGCCGAUGUCGGAUUAGCUAGUUGGCGGGGUAAAGGCCCACCAAGGCGACGAUCCGUAGCUGGUCUGAGAGGAUGAUCAGCCACACUGGAACUGAGACACGGUCCAGACUCCUACGGGAGGCAGCAGUGGGGAAUAUUGGACAAUGGGCGCAAGCCUGAUCCAGCCAUACCGCGUGGGUGAAGAAGGCCUUCGGGUUGUAAAGCCCUUUUGUUGGGAAAGAAAUCCAGCUGGCUAAUACCCGGUUGGGAUGACGGUACCCAAAGAAUAAGCACCGGCUAACUUCGUGCCAGCAGCCGCGGUAAUACGAAGGGUGCAAGCGUUACUCGGAAUUACUGGGCGUAAAGCGUGCGUAGGUGGUCGUUUAAGUCCGUUGUGAAAGCCCUGGGCUCAACCUGGGAACUGCAGUGGAUACUGGGCGACUAGAAUGUGGUAGAGGGUAGCGGAAUUCCUGGUGUAGCAGUGAAAUGCGUAGAGAUCAGGAGGAACAUCCAUGGCGAAGGCAGCUACCUGGACCAACAUUGACACUGAGGCACG
RNAcentral lists this ribosomal RNA (680 nucleotides) under Stenotrophomonas maltophilia. RNAcentral's name for it is "bacterial SSU rRNA". It matches the Rfam family "Bacterial small subunit ribosomal RNA", at positions 79 to 755 of the family's 1533-position model. Lineage: Bacteria; Pseudomonadati; Pseudomonadota; Gammaproteobacteria; Lysobacterales; Lysobacteraceae. The record is from RNAcentral.